ACAUACAUAUUUAUAAAUACUUCUUGCACUGCUUGCCUCGCUGUAUGAAACACUUAGGUAAUCGUGACCAUGGGUUGACUGGAAGAAAUCUCUUUCAGAGAUAAGGCCACCUUUGAAAUAAAC
Long non-coding RNA from Melitaea cinxia (Glanville fritillary), 123 nucleotides. RefSeq lists it as uncharacterized. The record is from RefSeq and is a predicted model, not a curated record. NCBI's taxonomy places the organism in Eukaryota, Metazoa, Arthropoda, Insecta, Lepidoptera, Nymphalidae. The transcript has 3 exons.